UUCGUAGGCGGUGCGGCAAGUCGGGAGUGAAAUCCCUGGGCUUAACCCAGGGGCUGCUUCCGAAACUGCUGUGCUGGAGUGUGGGAGAGGCGCGUGGAAUUGCAGGUGUAGCGGUGAAAUGCGUAGAUAUCUGCAGGAACACCCGUGGCGAAAGCGGCGCGCUGGACCACAACUGACGCUGAGGAACGAAAGCUAGGGGAGCAAACAGGAUUAGAUACCCUGGUAGUCCUAGCCCUAAACGAUCAGGACUUGGGGUGCCGCCCGUUCGGGCGUCGUCCCGGAGCUAACGCGUUAAGUCCUGCACCUGGGGAGUACGGUCGCAAGACUGAA
RNAcentral lists this ribosomal RNA (330 nucleotides) under uncultured bacterium. RNAcentral's name for it is "bacterial SSU rRNA". It matches the Rfam family "Bacterial small subunit ribosomal RNA", at positions 568 to 898 of the family's 1533-position model. The record is from RNAcentral.